UUGUAGCUCAGUGGUAGAGUGCUUGCCUGGCAUGCAAGAGGCUCUGGUUCCUAUCUCCAGCAA
Molecule: transfer RNA, 63 nt
Filed under: Ictidomys tridecemlineatus (thirteen-lined ground squirrel)
Lineage: Eukaryota; Metazoa; Chordata; Mammalia; Rodentia; Sciuridae
Description: Spermophilus tridecemlineatus (thirteen-lined ground squirrel) tRNA
Rfam family: tRNA
About the family: Transfer RNA (tRNA) molecules are approximately 80 nucleotides in length.
Source: Rfam by way of RNAcentral